GUCCCCUCCCCAGAUUAAUUAUCAUAUUCUCCUCUUCCACGGCAGGAGGCAGCAGGUUGCCGAAGCAAUCUAAGCUAGGUUGGAGCUGCCAUAUAUAGCUGAGCUACAAGUCUGCAAUCGUCUCUUGUUGUUUAACUAUAAGAGAUGGAAAAUGAUUCUCUCGCAUCCCUCGAUAUUCUUAGAGAUGUGCAUCGCUUGGCUAGUUUUUUAACGGAGCAACUGACCUUGGAAAGCGAAUCGCCGGAAGACAUCCAGGCGACGAUCUUUCGAGUUCCUGAGAACAUCCGCAGAACCAAUUCCGAUUCUUUUGAACCAAAGAUGGUCUCUCUCGGCCCCUACCACCAUGGAAAGAAACGGUUUCUGUUAAAAGGCAUUUAAUUUGGAAUCUUGACCAACAUGAAGUUUGAACGACAAGUCAUGGGAAGAGUUGAAUUCAAUAUUCAAACUUAGGAAAAUGUAGUCUUCUACUUUGGAAGUAUAAGACAAUUAAAUAAUUACUUUGUAUUAGCUCUAUAAGUACUUGUUUUCUUCUAAUAGGAAGAAAGAAGGGAAAAAUCUGUACGUGAAGUAGUAUAGCUACUAAAGGAGUCAACAGACUCUUUUUCAAUCAUAUUAAGAGUUUUUCGGGUUUCCGUUGCCA
Long non-coding RNA from Zingiber officinale, 640 nucleotides. RefSeq lists it as uncharacterized. Lineage: Eukaryota; Viridiplantae; Streptophyta; Magnoliopsida; Zingiberales; Zingiberaceae. The transcript is spliced from 2 exons. The record is from RefSeq and is a predicted model, not a curated record.